Molecule: long non-coding RNA, 3323 nt
Filed under: Musa acuminata (dwarf banana)
Lineage: Eukaryota; Viridiplantae; Streptophyta; Magnoliopsida; Zingiberales; Musaceae
Description: long non-coding RNA (MACU_LNC003296)
Source: RNAcentral
CCGACAAGAAGUUGUGCGCGACAUCAAGCUGCUCGAGGCUGGCAAUGCCGCUGAUCUCCUCCUGCAGGGUGUCCAUAGUCUAUUUAGAUGUCUCGAUUCAUUGGGCUCAUGAGCUUGGUAAGACUCGACGUUAUCUCGCAUGCAAAUAGAUUGUCACCCUUCCAUGCAAGUAAUAUAACCGAAGGUGGUGAACUCCCAAAUCUUCUAAACUAUGAUUCUUAAAGCAUCUCCGAUUUUUGUAUUCAAGUCUUAGAUACAAAUUGGAACAAUGCUGUGCAAUAAAAAAAGGCUUGAAAGUGUUUCGGCUAUUCGCAUGGUUUCUAAAUCAGCAACAUCUUUCAAAAACAUCAGCACUCAUUAUCACAUCCAAAUCGUUGUCUGUUUCACUUAAUUCAGUAUUCACAUUAAACCUGUAGGCUUUGACUCAACGACCCUUCGCUGCUUCUAUUGAGCCUACGAUGUUUUAGUUGUAGAAUCUUGCGACCAAGGUUUAUAAUAUCGAAUUGUACUGCUUGGUACGGGCGGUAUGUAUCGGUUCGAUAAGUUAUUAGUGCAUGGAUCGUCCGUUAUCGGGCGGUACGUUUAAAAAAAUCUUGUAUCGGACGAUACGGGGUAAUAUCGGGUGGUAACGGUCGAAAUUUUGAUCGUUAUCAUUUGGCACAACUCGGUAAUGAUUGAUUUCGAUCGUUAUCGCUCGAUACAAUUCGGUAACGAUCGAUCGCACUAUAAUAGUGAUAUGCUCUCUAACGGUCAAUUUGACCAUUGGAACCCUUUCUCAUUAUAUUUAAGUCAUUUUCUCUCCCCUAUUUCAUUAUACUCUUUUAAACUCUUUUUCAAAUCAUUUUUUUUCUCCUAAAUUUUGAAUUAAUUGAAUUAUGAUUUAUAAAACAAUGAUUUAUGAAUUAAUCGAAAUUUGGGAAGAUUAAAAGGAAGAACUUUCUAAUCAAGAUGUAUGUAUUCAUUUUCUUUAAUUAGAGAGUAAUUAAGAUCUUUAAGAUUAUGAUUAGUAUGUUUCAUGCAUAUUAAAUAUUGAAUAAUAUUUAUGAUAGUAAAAUAAGUUUAAUUAAGUUUUAUUAAAAUUAUUUAAUGCUACGAUUAGUUAUUUUAUUGAUGAUUUAAUCGAAAUUUAUUUAAUUUUAUAUCAAUUCAAUGGUUUUAAUACCUAUUAUGGUAUUUGUCAUUUUUAUAGUGUUGAAAGAGAAGUAAUUAGUGAAAAAUUAAUUAUGUUAAUCGUAUAAUUAGUGUAGAUAAAUGAUGAUUUUAUCAUAAUUUAAAUCAUAUUGGAUUAAAAUUACGUAUUUAAUGUUUCCGUGUUUGACAUAUAUAUGAUGGUAAAAUAAGUUUAAUUAUGUUUUAUUAAAGUUAUUUAAUAUCGUGAUUAGUUAUUUUAAUGAUGAUUUAAUCAAAAUUUGUUCGAUUUUAUGUUAAUCUAAUAUCUUUAAUACCUAUUAGGGUGUUUGCCAUAUUUAUAGUAUUGAAAGAGAAGUAAUUAGUAAAAAUUAACUAUAUUAAUCGUGUAAUUAGUGUAUUUAAUGAUUUUAAUAUUUUUUUAUGCAUGUAACAUAUUUAUGAUGAUAAAAUAUGAUUAGUUAUGUUUUAAUAAAAUUAUUUAAUAUUGCGAUUAGUGAUUUAUGAUCGAUAUUUGAUCAAUUUAAUAUGUUUAUAUUUUAUAGUUUAUUUGAUUUAAAUUUGGUAGGAUCAUGGCACCAAAGGAACAACCACAUGAUGAUGCAUGAGUUCAUUCCCGAAAGAUAAAUGAAAAUCGUCAUCAUUGGCAAUGUAUUUAUUGUGACUACAUUGACAAGGGUGGAGGAAUAACUCGGGUGAAAAUGUAUUUGGCUGGUAGGUAUCCUGAUGUUGCAAAAUGCAAGAAUGUUUCAACGGAGAUCCGUAAAUUAUUUCAAAGCAAGCUUAAACAAGCAAAGGAAGAUAUAUUAAAAAAGAAGGCAAGAGUUGAGGAAUAAUAUCAUAGGGCUACACAGGAACCAGUUUAUGAUUAGUAUGAGGGUUGCGGCGAUUAAGUCGACCCAGAUCUCACAGUUGAGAUUCGUGCAUCAUUGGAGCAUCAGUAUACGAUUGAUGAAGCAAUGAGGCAUCGAUGACAUGACUCACAAUUGGAGCAUGGCAGUGGUAGUGGAAUCCAAAGGUCAACCAGGCAUGAGGCAACCAACUGUUCCUUCUUAGUUAGGCCGAACUAGUAGCAUGAGGUAUGGUGGACUACAUGGUUUUAUGAGAGGUCUUGGCUAGAGGUCCGCACCAGAUAUUGUUGAUAUUGAUCCGCAAGCCUAUCCCCUACAAACAACGAAACAGACACGAAUUGACGAUGCAUACACAAAAAAAAAAACAAUUGGAUAUUGGGAAGGCAAUCUUAAAAUGGUUCAACUUCCACAGGAUUUCAACUAACACAGCCCAAGGUCCAUAUUACCAGAGCAUGGUCUCUUCUAUUCAAAAGUCUAGCACGGGGAUCCAACCUCCAACACCAAAAGAGAUUUACGGCGUGUUCUUAGAUGAGGAGGUUGCAGAACUAAAGGAUUGGAUCAAAUCCUUCAAGAGGCAAUGAGACGAAUAUGAGGUGACAUUGAUGUGUAACAGUUGGAUAGAAUCAACAAGAAUGAGUAUCAUAAACUUUCUUAUUUAUUACAAUAGAAGAAUGGUGUUUCAUAAGUCCGUUAAUGCUUCUGAAAAAAUCCAAGAUGCAAACUACAUUGAGAGCUUGAUAGACACUAUGGUAGAGAAGAUUGGACCAUAGUAUGUUAUCCAAAUAAUAAUCGACAAUGAAGUAAAUUUCAAAAAGGCCGGUUUGCAAUUGAUGGAAAAAAGAAAAACUUUGUUUUGGACUCCAUGUGCAGCUCAUUGGUGAGUUGGAUGUGUAAGCAUAAAGAUAUGUAAUUAUGCUAUAUCAAUAAUGCGGAAAUAACCUAAAUGCCAGGAUUGAAAUCAAUGCAUAGAUCUAUACGAUGCGUACCAUUUGAUGCCAUAUGUUCAGAGAUCCUGUAGAUCUGCUAAGCACCGUCUUUAAUCCAAGAUUGCUGCAGGCUCCGUCUUUAAUCCGAUCGCGCUGCGGAAUCUGUAGGGAGUGCGGAGAGUAGACCCUUUCUCCUCUCUUCCUAUCCUUUCACAGGAUCCACACAGAUUGAUGGAUUUGGGGAGAGGGUUUUGGGGAGAGAGUCGAGGAGAAUAACUGAAUCCCUCAACGGAGAGGUACGUCUAUACGUGUCAACGUUAUGACGCUCUAACACACUAACACACCCUCAACCCCUAGAGAUCCUGUCCUUUUAUAGGCGAGAGCAGAGGGUCUACGAUGAGAUCUCAGAAGAUUUCCU